AAUCCCAUUUCCAGGCUUAUAAUAUUAUUAUGAAGUGCCUAUAUAAGGAUCUACAACCAUUGAAAUAAAAUCAGACAUAUCUCUAAUUAACACUAAUAACAGCAAACUAAAGGUGAAGUUUGCCAGAAACAAGAUGGGAAGGAACCAUUUUCAGCAGCAACACUGUGCUGAUGGGAGCAUGUGGAUGGAGAGUCAGGGUCAGCAACAGAGCUAUGCCUUCCAAGAAGAGUCUUGGAGCCCUGAUAACAACUAUGGCCACAACCACAAGCAAUUCCCAGGCAUGCACAUGAACAUGAACAACAACAACAACAACAAAAGGCUUGGUGCUUUUGCUGCUGUGGACUCUGACUUCUCAAUGCAAAAACAUCAUCAUGGGCAUGGCAACGGCGUAGGAGCCAUGCACAUGAACAUGAACAGGCAUGGUGGCAAGUUAGGAGGCAUGUUUCAAGAAGGCAUGCACAGUGACCACCAUGGUGGCAGAAAGUUCCCUUUUGGUGGUCAUCAUCAUGGUAAUAAUAACGCCUCUCAACAUCAUUUUCCAAACCAUGGUGGGCACCAUGAGUAUUUUUCGGAGGAAUCCGAGGAGUACGAGGAGUCUUAUGCAGAGGAGCAUGUUGGUGGAGUCACGGCUAAGGUGGAUGAAAUGAGACAUGAGCGUCAUAACUGGGGUGGUGGGGAUACUCGCUAUGCCAAUCCCUAUGGCAUGAACAUGAAUCACAAACCCCACAAAUUUCAGUGGACAGCAAAGGGGGUCUAAAUCUAUAAUGAACCCACCUACACCUAUUAAUUUCCUCUGCACUUGCUUCUUCCUAUCAAAUAUCUAUCAAUAAAACAGUAAUAAAAUUAUGUGUGCUUUGUUGUUUUGUUUUCUUCUUGGAAUAAUUAAGACCACUCCAAUUGUAUUUGGACCUUUCUGAUGGUGCUUGAUGCUACUACUUGUAAUAUCUUCUUUAACUUAUUUAAGUUAUAAUAUAAAGUUGUCUUUGAUUAUGAUGAAUAAAGAAUUGAAGAUAUUAAUUAA
This is an RNA transcript of Glycine soja, 1021 nucleotides long. It is a transcript of the gene named histidine-rich glycoprotein-like, with no coding region annotated. Lineage: Eukaryota; Viridiplantae; Streptophyta; Magnoliopsida; Fabales; Fabaceae. The transcript has a single exon. The record is from RefSeq and is a predicted model, not a curated record.